UACGGGGGGGUAAGCGUUGUUCGGAAUUACUGGGCGUAAAGGGCUCGUAGGCGGCCAACUAAGUCGGACGUGAAAUCCCUCAGCUUAACUGGGGAACUGCGUCUGAUACUGGAUGGCUUGGAUUUGGGAGAGGGAUGCGGAAUUCCAGGUGUAGCGGUGAAAUGCGUAGAUAUCUGGAGGAACACCGGUGGCGAAGGCGGCAUCCUGGACCAAUAUUGACGCUGAGGAGCGAAAGCCAGGGGAGCAAACGGG
This 252-nucleotide ribosomal RNA is filed under the name uncultured bacterium. RNAcentral's name for it is "partial 16S ribosomal RNA". It matches the Rfam family "Bacterial small subunit ribosomal RNA", at positions 524 to 776 of the family's 1533-position model. The record is from RNAcentral.